AGGGUUAGGUUUAGUAUUAGGGUUAGGCAUAGGGUUAGUGUUAGGGUUAGAGUUAUGGUUAGGGUUAGUGUUUGUGUUAGCGUUAGGUUUGGGCUUAGGGUUCAGGUUAGGGUUAGGUUUAAUUUUAGAUUUAGGGUUAGGGUUGGCUUUAGGGGUAGUGUUAGGGUUAGUGUAAGGGUUAGUGUUCGGUUAGGGUUAGGGUUUCUGUUAGGUUUAGGGUUAAGUUAAUCAUUAGGGUUAUGGUUAAGUUUAGAGUUAGAAUUCGGGUUAGGGUUACGGUUAGGGUUAAGGUUAGUGUUAGGUAUAGGUUUAGGUUUAGUGUUAGUUAUGGGGUUAUGGUUGGUGUAAGGGUUAAUGUUAGUGUUAGGGUUAGUGUUAGGGAUAGGUUUAGUGUUAGCAUUAGGUUUAGGAUUAGUUUUAGGUAGGGUUUUGGGUUAGGUUAGGAUUAGGGUUAUGGUUUGGUUAAGGUUUGUAUUAGGGUUAGAGUUAGGUAAAGGGUUUGUCUUGGGGUUAGGGUCUGGGUGUGGGUUAGUGAUAGAGUUACAGUUGGGAUUAUGUUUAGGUUUCAGGUUACAGUUAGUGUUAGGGUUAGUGUUAGAAUUAUAAUGAGGAUUAGGUUUAGGAUUCGUGUUAUAGUUAGGGUUAGGGUUGGAGAUAGGGUGAGGUGUAGGUGUGCGGCUAGGGUUAGGGUUAGUAUUACUCUUAGGUUUAGGUUUAGGGUUAGGAUUACUCUUAGGGUUAGUGUUAGAGAUAGGUUUAGGGUUAGUGUUAGGGUUAGGUUUAGAGUAAGUGUUAGGGUUAGGGUUAUAAUUAUGGAGAGGUUUAGUGUGACUGUUAGGGUUAGUGUUAGUGAUAGGGUUAGGUUUAGGAUUAGGGUUAUGAUUAGUGUUAGGGUUAUGGUUAAGGUUAGA
Molecule: long non-coding RNA, 911 nt
Filed under: Marmota monax (woodchuck)
Lineage: Eukaryota; Metazoa; Chordata; Mammalia; Rodentia; Sciuridae
Source: RNAcentral